AAUGAGGGGGGAAAAAAAAAGUCACGUGCACCACAACAUCUACCUGCAGCUGUGUUGCUGAAAAUCCCCCAACAGGAAGCGUGAGCAGCCAGCGGGAUGGAAGCUGCCAGUACAACGAGGCAUCAAGGAGGGCCAGGGCUGGUUGGGGCCGUGGAUGAAACUGGAGCCCAUCUGGGACCAAGAAAUAACCUGGCUCCUCUCUGCAUGUGCCGGGCACCGGUACACAUGUGGUCAGGCGCAACUGGGCCAGAAUUAAUACAUUUUGUUAAUGUUUUUAUUUCUGAGAGCGAGAGAGAGAGAGAGAGAGAGAAAGCACGAGCAUGGGAGAGGCGGGUGGGUGCAGAGGGCCCCAAAGAGGGCUCUGCGCUGAUAGCAGCAAGCCAGACACAGGGCUUGAACUCAAAAACUGAGAUCAUGACCCUGACUGAAGUGACACCUUCAGCCGACUGAGCCACCCAGACACCCCCAGAAUUAGUAUUCAUAGCCCAGUGAUAGUAAUGGUCACACUAUGUUCAUCGAUGGUAGCUCCUAGAACCACAAGUAGCCAGCAGGUGAAAUGUACUCAGUUAACCAUGAUUUGGGUUAUAACACAUCACAUCGUCCUUUUGGCUUUUGGUUUUUGACGUGAUGAUUCUUUCACCUCCGUAAAGAGUUGUAAGCCAUACAGGAACUCUAAUGACAAUUUAGGAAUUCAUAGGGUACGUGUAUGAUUCUGUAUUGUCUUCCUGAGUCCCCGUGUUCAGUCAUUUGGAUCCGUAGCUGAUCUUCCCUGGUGAAUUGGAACAAUGUGUGGAGAGCCCCCAAGGGAAGGAACUCUGAGAUCUUAGGGAAGCCAGUGGACACAGGGCUCCUAUAAACCUUUCUGGAAGGGGUACAGAUGCGAGAGAGCUGGCCCCUGAGAGCAUCUAUGCAGCCAAAGGCCACUGCCUGGCUCAAGUCCAUGCAGAUCAGCAUAUCUGCAUAUUGUAGUUCAGUAGGGACUGCUGCUCUUGAUUUAAUUAAUAGUUUGUUUGCAUAAUUUUCCUUAGGAAGGACUAUUAGCACAUCAAAAGGACGUUAAAAGUAUCCUUGGUAAUAAUAAAUACAAACCUAGUUUAUCACUUUGUCAGUUUCAACAAACACCACUCUGAUAUGCUAACCUUUCCCAUGGAGGCGCCCUAGUUAAGUCAACAGCCAGACAAGUGGGAGAAGGGAACAUAGGCCCAGUCUGUGAACUGGUUGAUGGGGAAAGCCAAAAUAAUUUCUGUGAGGAUACAUUUUUUGAAUUCCCAAAUACCUGAAAAAUGCCAGAGGCAUGUGUAUGACUUUUCCUUCCUCCCUCCUCCCACUUAAAAGCUUUUGUAGAGAACCUGCUGAGCUGGUAGCAUUUUUCUUUGCAUCUCAAGGGAGCACUUUGUAAAAAUGUUUUUAGAACACUAAUUUUUAUGCACCCCCCCGCCCUGCCCUGCCCAGGGGAAGAAGGAAAGGUGGGUCAUUUACAUGAAAUUAAAGAUUUUUGUAUAGCCCAUCUCUGUCCCACCCCUGAAGAAGACAGGGAGAACAGCAAAUGUCCUUGAAACGUCGGUAGCCAUGCGAGGUUUGAUUCAAGAAAGAAAAUGCCUCUGAAGGCGGAAGGCAGGGAACCACAGAGAAUGACCAAGCCCCUCAGUGGCUCAAGAUAUGCCAAAGUGCAGGUGAAACCAAACAACCUGAUCAUGUACACCUCUGGGUGGGACGGAGGAAGCUUCGCUCUGUGUGGCAGGUAUAUUCAGUAAAAUCUUCCUAGCCUCUCCAUGGAAACUUCGGCAGUUAAAGCCCAUGGGCCACUUUCAAAACCUAAAAUUCAAUUCUUUUAGCUAAAAAGAGAAGUUAUUUAUCUUAGUCAUCUGUGUACUACAUCCAGCCUCAUUUUGUUCAACAAAAGAUACUAAACAUAGUCAUCGCCUGGCAUGUCUGAGCCUGGUCUUAUUAACUGGAAACUGGAGAAAGAAGUUCAGAAAUUGACAAAAGAUCACCGAGGCAACUAGAAUGACAUCUGAAGUAGACGGGCGGUUUUGCCCUUUGCCAGCAUCUGCUCCUGCUCCCCCAGGCCCUUCAGAACUCUGGCUCUGUGUGGCAUUUCCAUGGGCUUCCAGGAAAGAAGGUCCGAGGCCACCUCCCAACUCCACUCUCUCCAGGGGAGUCUGAUCUGGUCGGGGGUGAUCUCAACCUACUGCCAGCGGUUGGUUCAGAAAUGAGUGUGUAAUCAUUUGGGCUGGUGAGGCAAAAAAAGAUUUUUCUUGGAGCUUCUGGGGGAAAAUAUCUUUAUUCUUCAGAGACUGCCUUGGGAAGCAUUUCUCUGGCCAUCACAUGUCCCUGGAUGUGAGGCCAUCUGCUACACAUGCCCUGCUACCAGGCUGAGGCUGAAGGUGCAGGCAGAAGAGGGCAGAGCUUAAGAGAGCAGCACGAAAGAGGGCCAGGAGCCCCAAGACCCCGUCAACCCCAAAGCCUCAAGUUCCUCUAGACUUUGGUUUUGUGGCCGUACUUUAUCUUAGUUUAUAAGCCAGUUUGAGUUUUCUGUUGCUUGCAAGAAAGGAAUCUUAACUAAUACAAGUUGUCAAAAACUAGAAACUUCUAAGUAGUCCUCAUGAGAAAGACAAAACCUGUUUGUUGCCUGCGUAAAAGGAAGAAUGUAAUAUUGACUAAUGGAUGAAAAGAAGAGAAACUGCAUCGUGAUAGAACUAGGAUGGCUUCCUCCACAGUGCAAAGGGUUCAACUAUCAAAUAAUUUAGCGCCGAACCUAAGGCACUGUCAUCACUCGGGAUAGUUUGAAUGUGACCAGGUAAAGUGGUCUAAAAUCCUAGAUAUCUCCCAGGGCCGUACUCCACCUCAGCAGAAGACCUGUUGCAGAGCAUGAAGCAGAUACAACCUAGUAUAUAAUCUAAAAUCGCCCCGGUCAAGAGACUGUUCUGGAGGCUCUGACAAUAAUCAUACAGUUCCCAGUGGAAGGGCAUGGUCUGGAGGAAAGUCACUUGAACUUGGGGAAGCCAAGUCUGGUUUUGUGCAAAAAUAAAAAUGGAAGGCUUCACGAAAUUGGAAAAGUAUCCCUCCCCGUCUGAAAUACACCCCCUGAGUCCCUGCUAUUUGAAAUUGUCAACUGGAGAAUAAAGACAGAGAUAAAGGAUCUCAAAUGCAAAUUUCCAUGAGAGCACUAACACAGUACUAACAGCUUGGCCACUCAAAAGUCUAUCUCACUAGUUCAAGAAAGUAAGCUUUGUGACGCCACAGGUAUUUUUGUCUUGUUCAUUACUCUAUCCCUUAUAACUAAAAGGGUGUUUAACCCAUAAUACAUGCAAAAUCACCAUUUGUGACUAAAUGAAUGACCGAUAAUCUGAGUCUUACCCAGAGCAAACUUUUAUGGGAAAGAAGAAAAUCUCCAGAGGUGGAUUUAUCAUGAGGCUGAGGAAUGUUAAGCAUUAGUGCCCCUCUCUGUGCUAGGAGGAACCCUACCAGUGCAUUCACUUGUCAUAUGUUUUUGCAAAAUUUGUAGAAGUCAGAUAUUUUAGUCUUGACAGGUCAGACUUCUGUCUCUUUCGACUCUAUCUUGCUCUCCUAUCAGGUGCCAUCAGUCACUGCAGGCUUUUUGGGGGGGGAGGGAAGCUAAGUCAAGUAGAUUUGAAAUACACUAAUUUUUGUGUAGCAGGAUAUAUUUAUGUGAUUCAUAGUCACUUCUGCAUGUAGUAUUUCUAGCCUUCCUCUUGUAGGAGUGGAUUCCCACUGUAGAAACACAUCUGAUGUCCUAACAUAAAGGCGCAUACAGAUGUUGUAUGACAAUACGAGUGUGUUCUGUGACCUUAGUGGAGGCAAAGGAAUGUUUGAAAUGGAGCCGGAAGCUAGUCCAUGGAAAAUUUUUUCCAAUCAAUUGCAAACAAAGCGUUCCGUUUUCAUUGACACCUAGUUAAAAUGAGGUUUUUCUCCCAUUGGGAAUAUACAUGAGGACGCAGCGAAUACUUUUGUGGUUUUGUGCCAUAUCAUGAAAUCAUUUUUCAAAUUUUUGCAAAUGACAUUAAUAGAAAUUAUUCUGAUAUCUACAAGUGAAUUGAAACCAAACAGAACCAACCCAGAUCAUUCCAAAAGUAGUAAACCAUUAAGAAGAAGAGAUAAAUUGCUAAUAGAAAUAAUAAAUAGGCUCUUAGAUUAUUUAAUGAUGCAAUUAAUGAAGAAAAGUGAUUAUGUGAACAUAUUUUUUUUUUAAUUUUUUUUUCAACGUUUAUUUAUUUUUGGGAUAGAGAGAGACAGAGCAUGAACGGGGGAGGGGCAGAGAGAGAGGGAGACACAGAAUUGGAAACAGGCUCCAGGCUCUGAGCCAUCAGCCCAGAGCCUGACGCGGGGCUCGAACUCCCAUUCCGCGAGAUCGUGACCUGGCUGAAGUCGGACGCUUAACCGACUGUGCCACCCAGGCGCCCCUAUGUGAACAUAUUUAAAUUUCUUUAUGAUUUGACAAGGAUAGUCAUGUUGACAAAGAUAACGCAACUCGUAAUUACACCACUACAGUGAGGACAUUGGCAACAAACUCGUUAACAGAGAGCACUGUCAAUUCAAAACAUCUAAGAUAAGGCACAAAACAACAAAAACUAGAAAUGCUCUGAAAUCUUAAGACUCACAUAUGACAAGAAAAAGUUUCCCCAAAUUGACUAUAAUCCUAAACAUUUAUGUGAUGAUACCAAUAAUAAGACAAGAGGCUCACAAACUUUCCUAAAUUAUUAAUAAAAGACAAAUUUGAUCAACCAUGUACAGGAAAGAUUUAUACUUUCUAGAUAAAAAAUAUAAAAUCUUUGCCAUACGAAGAGGUAAUCCAGCAUAUGGAGUUCAUAAAAAAAAUAAUGAAAAAUUAUAAGGCGUUUUAGAAAAUCAAGUAACAAUAUCAUGGUAGAAUAGUAUAUGUGUGUUGAGGAUGGAAUUCAGGAACUCUCUUAGAGUUUCUUUUUUUUAAGUUUAUUUCUUUCUUUUGAGAGAGAGAGAGAGUAUGUGUGUGCAAGUAGGGGAGGGGCUGAGAGAGAGAGAGAGAGGGAGAGAGAGAAUCCCAAGCAGGCUGUACACUGUCAGCGCAGAGCCCAUGCAGGGCUCAAUCUCACGAACUGUGAGAUCAUGACCUGAGGCGAAAUAAAGAGUCAGACACUUAGCCAAAUGAGCCACCCAGGCACCCCUCUUAGAGUUUAUAAAGUGGAAAAAAAAACCCAAAAACAAAUGAGGAUCACUUCCCUGAACGAUGGUAUCUAGAGAAAAGAAAAUUUACUUUGGACUUGAAGUGUCUUGAGUUUAAAUCCCAGUCCCUCCACUUAAAUAGUUGUGUGACUGUGAGACUUGAUUUCUACAUUUGUAAAAAUAGGCAGAAUAUUAAGUGUCUUUUAGAGCUUUUGUGAAAAUUAAAUGCUACUACUAAAAUUAAAUGAAGCUAUAAAAAUUAAAUGAAUAGGGCUCUUCUAAAGUAAAUGUGCUCAGUAGAAGGUGUUCUGUAAAUGUUAGCUUCCUUCUGAAAUAUAUAGAGCAGGAUGUCAACUUAUGCAAAGAAUGUAAAUUUGUUCUGGUCAUAAAUGUCAAUGCAUUUUCUGACAAUGCCCAUGAAUUUGUAUAGACUAUAUGGAUUAUGUUUCACCUUUUUGCCUUAUCCUCAAGCUAAUACCAAAUAGGCAUUGACAUAUAUGGGCAAUUUAUGAAAGAAGAAAUAAGAAUGUCUGGUAAUAUAGCCAGAGUUGUUUAACGUACCUGGUCAUCAGACAUGGAUGUAAACAACCAAAUACCAUUUAAUCACUCAGAUUGGCAAAAGAAGAUUGAUAAAAAGAACGGAAAAGGCUGCCUGCAGUUGGUAAGGGUCCAAGAGAGUGACACUCUCAUAACAAUGAGUGGCUGGAGUUCAAAUUGGCACAGCUGUUCUGAGGCCAGUGUAAAAGUACAGUUGCCCCUGGGGGUGCCUGGGUGGCUCAGUCAGUCAAGCUUCCAACUCUUGAUUUUGACUCAGAUCAUGAUCUCACGGUUUCAUGGGAUGGAGCCCGCAUUGGGCUCUGCGCUGACAGCGUGGAGCCUGCUUGGGAUUCUCUCUUUCUGUCUCUGUCUCCAUCUGCCCCUCCGCCCACCAAAUAAAUAAACAUUAACAUUUUUUAAAGCCCCCUGUUUAAAAAAAGAAAAAGUACAGUUGACUGCAAAACAAUUACAGGGUUUAAGGGCUCCAAGCCCCCACUUCCUGCACAGCUGAAAACUGUGUAUGACUUUUGACCCCCAGAAACUAACUAUUGGUAGCUAACAACUGACCAGAAGCCUUACCAAUAAACUAAGGAAUUGAAUAACUCAUCUUUUUUAUGUUAUUAUGUGCUAUAUGCUGUGUUCUUACAAUAAAGUAAGCUAGAGAAAAUAAAUGUUAUUAAAAUUAUAAGGAAGAGAAAAUUCACAUUCACAGUACUCUGCAGCAAAAAAUCUGUGUAUAAGUUCAAACCUGUGUUGUCCAGAGUCAACUAUAGACUAAAACGACAACAAAGAAAACCCUUUAAAAAAUGUUUAUCCUGGGGGCUCCUGGGUGGCUCAGUCGGUUGAGCAUCCGACUUUGACUCAGGUCAUGUUCUCACAGUUUGUGAGUUCGAGCCCUGCGUCAGGCUCUAUGCUAACAGCUCAGAGCCUCGAACCUGCUUUGGAUUCUGUGUCUCCCUCUCUCUGUGCCCCUCCCCCACUUGUGCUCUGUCUCUCUCAAAAAAUAAAUAAACAUUAAAAAAAAUUUUUUUAAUGUUUCUCCUGCAUUUAAAGCUAAACAUGGCCACCCAAUGACCACUUCUAGUUUGCUUCCAAAAAAUGUAUACAUACGUCCUCCAAAAGGCAUGUACAGAACUGUUCAUAGCAACUUUAUUCAUAGUAGUUUAAAUGGCCAUCUACAAUAAACUGAAUCAAAUUGUGUAUUCAAACAAAACACUACAUAGUGAUAUAAUGAGUAAAUUACUGGGGCGCCUGGGUGACUCAGUCGGUUAAGCGUCCGACUUCGGCUCAGGUCAUGAUCUCGCAGUUCGUGGGUCCGAGCCCUGCUGUACUGACAGCUCAGAGCCUGGAGCCUGCUUCAGAUUCUGUGUCUCCCUCUGUCUCUCUUCCUUUCCCCUGCUUGUAUUUUCCCUUUCUCUCUCUCUCUCUCUCUCUCAGAAAUAAAUAAAUUUUUAAAAAGUGAAUUACUGCUAUACCCUGUAGCAUGGAUGAAAAUCACAUACAUCAUGUUGAGUGGAAGAAGCCAGAAACAAAAGAAAUACACACCCUGUCAUUCCAUUUCUGUGAAGUUCAAGAACCUGAGGUAGGUACUAAUUAGGAAGGGGCAUGAAGGAGCAUUCUAGGGAGCCGUAUAUGUUUAAUACAUAGAUCCUAGGUAGUGGGAAUAUAGCUGUACACACAGGUGUAAAAUUCAAAUAGGCAUAUGCUUAAGAUUUAUUCAUUGGAUGUGUGUAUGUUAUGCUUCAACUAAAACAUUUUAUGAAAACAACCUUUGAUUUAGCAAUUAGGUUUUCAUCCUAAAGGAAAACUCAGAGGAAUACAAAAAAGGUUUACAUGGAAGUACGAUUUUUUAUUUAUAGUAGCAAAAAUCUAGGAAUCAGUUAUUAAGGAAGUAGUUACAUAAAUUAUGGUGCCUUUAAACAGUAGAAUGCUGUGUCAUCUUUAAAUAAGAUGAAACGGGGGCACCUGGGUGGUUCAAUCGGUUGAGCAUCUGAAUUUCGGCUCAGGUCAUGAUCUCGCGGCCCGUGAGUUCGAGGCCCACGUCGGGCUCUGUGCUGACAGCUUUAAGCCUGGAGCCUGCUUCGGAGUCUGUGUCUCCCUCUCUCUCUGCCCCUCCCCCACUUAUGCUCUGUCUCUCUCUCUCUCUCUCUGUCAAAAAUAAAUAAACCUUAAAAAAAUAAAAAAUAAGAUGAAAUAGAAGAAUAGCUAAAAAAUGUGGAAAGAAGGUCAUAAUAUAUUGUGGGAAAAGGAUGGGUUAACCAAAUGGUUUUUAAGGCUUAAUACUAUACUUGGUUAAAAUAUGUGAGAUACAUAUAUUUCUAUGGAAAUGUAUAUACCCAUAGAACAUGCUGUUUCAUAUACAACCCACACACCUAUCUCUAGUGAGAUUAUAGGUAUAUUUUCUUUCCUUUCUAUUUUUUUAAACCAUUUUCUACAUUGAAUUGUGUCUUUUUGUAAUCUGCAAAAAUUUAAAAAUUUAGAAAGGGACAGAAAAAAACCAAGAGCAAGCAAACUGUUACAUACAUUCUGCAUUCUAGGUGUGCCUUAAUGAAGGUGGUUAACCUCUCAAACCCAGUUCCUGUCUGUAAAAUGUGGAUAACGGCACCUGUCUUACAGCAUUGUUAACUGGAUUGCAUUAAAUCAUAUAUAUAGCGUGAUCUAUAUACAGUGGUUAGCAGUGUGUGUGAUGGCCACACCGUGAGCACUUUAUUAUUAUUUUUUUAAUGUUUUUAAAUUUAUUUUUGACAGAGAGACAGAGCGUGAGCAGGAGAGGGGCAGAGAGACAGAUGGAAACACAGAAUCUGAAGCAGGCUCCAGGCUCUCAGCUGUCAGCACAGAGCCCGACGCGGGGCUCGAACUUACCAACAGUGAGAUCAUGACCUGAGUCGAAGCUGGCCACUUAACUGACUGAGCCACCCAGGCACCCCCACCGUAAGCACUUUAUAAAUACCAGCCACUGCAUUCAUCUGGGAUGUUGGCUAAGACUCCCGAGUUACUAGCGCUGACUUCACUGUUCUUUUUACUGUGGGUCUCUAUUCACAUGGUCAUCACGUGUUCCUUUAAAGGGUAAGCAGAACACUGCUGGCUAUGGGGUGGAGGGUCCUGACGUGUCCUGUCAUCUGAAAGGCCACAAGGAAACCCUGUCUGAUUAGGGGCACGCAUUCUGACAGCCAGGCCUCAGCACUCUUGGGUAGAUGCAUCACAUCCCAACUGAUACUGAGAGCCAGGAGCCCGAGUGGCGCCCAGGUUCCACAGCAUCCUGAGCGCUACAAAUCCAAGCAGAAAGUUAGGAACAUGCCGAUCGCUUUCUGUGGGGUUUUCUUCCUCCCGAUCACUGGGGACGUGUAUUGCGCAGUCAGGUUUAAUUUCAGUCUUUCAUUGUGUGUCCUCUUUCCUUUACUCCUGCUUUCCCUGUUUUUGUUUCUAUUUCCACUUUUUUUUUUUUCCUACACUGUUCAUUUCCUGGGCUGCUUCUGUGCUUUCUUCUCCCCACACCAAUUCGCCCCCACCUCGUCUCCUCUCUCCCCUCCUUCCUUUCCUUUCUCUCUCUUCCUUUGCGUCUCUCUUGAGACAGGUCUAGUGGCCUGGUUGCCAUCUGCUGCCUUUUUUUUUUUUUAUGAGGUUGAGAUCAGAUGGCAUCUAAUCGAUCGUCAUGGUCUCCAUGGUUACCAGGGUGACAGAGCACUUGGGAGAGACACAUUCUCCAGCCUGGGGCUGUCAGAUCAUUCCUGUGAGGGGGAAAGAAAAUAAAACCUCUUCCAUCAUAUUCACACAUUUACAUCUUUCCCAAAUGCACCAAAACACAGACCCUGUUUAUGUUUUACAUAGCUACCUACCUAGUGGCUCCAGGCCAGGGAAUGCAGAGUGACUUUUUCUAUUAAAAAAAAAAACAAAAAAAAAAAACCCAGAAAACAAAAAAUAAAAAAAACAAAAAACCAAGAAGCACACAAGCACAAGGACUUCACUUCCAGUAAAGAUCUUUUUUUGAACCCCAAAGUACCCCAUGACCCCCAUAGACCCAGAGCAUCAUCUUUUCUUUUUCUUUCCCCUUUUACUGUUUGGACAUUAACUUAGUAAUUCUAAUGAGUUGUCAUUCUUGCAGUAAAUCGCGGAGUAGUUCUAAAAUGAACAGGUGACAACUAUUUGCUUUGGAGAAAGGAACAGCCACUCCCAGAACUAUCUCCCCACACUUGAGCCUUUGAUUACGAUCAGUGGUGACAUUUGUUGGGACUUCUUGUUUGGCCGCGACAUAUUUGUAGUACAGGAAGCCAUUUUCCCCAGGAAGAGCAGUCACAUAGGAUGAACUGUAAACAAAAUAACCCUUCCUAAUACAAAAAAGUGCCGGGCGUGACUGUGGUCUGAAGCGCUUUAAUGCGCAAGGGCGGCCCAUCCGGCAGAGAUUUAGAGAGGCAGCCGGGCCUUAUUAUAAUAGAAUAUGGUGGUGUUGACAGCCCAGGUCUGGUUGAAAAAGACAGGAGACACAUCUUGGUACCAGGUAAGGCUAUAUAUAACGAAUGGAACACUUGCUAGAUUUUUGGAGAAACUCUGAGAAAAGAAAGCAAGCAAUCAGCAUAUCAUUAAGCAAUGGUAAAACACACCUUCAGCGUCAGGCACUGAUGACUUGGGCUAUCGGCUAUUUGACUUCCUCUCCUGGUAAUAUUUGAUGCUACAUAGCGAUUAUUAGAAAUUGUUUUGUUUUUAAUCUUUGUCAGAAGAAAAGAAAAUACCUUAAAAUCAUGGCACAGGUAGAGGGCCUCUGAGCAGUGAUUUUUCAUUUAAGGAAAAACGUCACCCCAAAGAUGGGCCGUACCUCCUUCUCCUUCCUUUGUCUCUGACGUCUCCUCAGACCUCCUCCACCUCCUGUACAGUAUCUUAGUAAGACUCAGAUAUAUUCAUCCGCGGUGCCUUCGGCUGUUAAGCAAAUAUCACACUGAUAUUUGAAAUAGAAAUGAUGCCAUCAAUUGGAGAAGAGACUUUAAUAUAACGGGAAAAUAAUUUCUCAUGAACAUGAACCUUCUUACUCACUUUGCGCCUCUGCCUCUUUGCUAACGCCUGUCCCCAACCCCUUCUGGCCACUUCUUCCCGCCCUCCCCUCUUUCCUGGCCAUCUCCAUAGCAUGGCCUCAGAACCGCUCUGACUUAAGUCCCGUCUCCUCAGAAGAGCUCCCCCCUCACCGCCUCCCCAUGGCACGGAGGCCUGAACCCCUAUUUUCUUAUGGUCUACACCCACUCAGGACUUACCUGUGCUGCCUGUACCCUUGCUGAUAUGUUUGUUACGUGUAUCUUUUGCCUGUCAUUUCAACGGUAAGCUCCAGAAGGGAGAGACCGUGUCUCCUACUUUGGGGCUCUCCCCUGGCAUUCCAGGUAGUCAGCCCUGGCUAAAUGUUUGAGAGGGGGUGGUAGCAGCCCGUUGUGCCUACAGUGGCCUAGCCGGCUUUCCUUUGUAAGGCGUUGGUUCUCAGCACGUCUUGACCUGCGCUGAUGUUACUUUGCAUCAGCCGGAGGCUUUCUCUACCUCCUUGUCUCCCUCGCCCAUACUCUUGUGUACAGAGAAGGUGGGUUCCACCUUGGAAUGAAAUGAGUCAUUUGUUCCCAUCAGGACAACUGCCACAGCAUGGUGUCAACUCACUCUUGCCUUUGGUAAAUUGAGUUUGUCAGUGCUCAGCCACACAGCUGAGUGAAGUGUUGUGUGAUGCGGGGCUGUCUCCUGGGAGAGAGAAACUGGCAUAAACCACAUCCUAAUGGGAUCCAGAAACAAAGAAGCGUGAAUGAAGUGUUAAUUGCAUUCAUAAAGACAUUAACAAAGGAAUUAAAAUGGCAGAAGCUUCCGUUCCCCCACUCAAGAUUCACAGAAAAACAUGUUAUCCAAAGAAUGUUUUAACAAUAAUCAUCAAAGUUUAUUGCUUGGCCACCACAGAGAUAACUCUCAAUAAAUAUUAACUUUUCAAAGGAUAAACAUUUUUUGUUCAUUAUCUCGAGUGUAUUAACUAGCAGACAGUUGAUUCUAUCCCACCUCCAGUUCUUUUCUUGCUCCUUGCUGCCUUUGUAUGAUUUAAGUUUCCAGAAAAUCAAGAGGCAUUUUCAAUGCUGCUUCAUUAGCCAUAAGGAGGUCUGUUAACAGUUUGAACCUAAUCAAUCCUACAGUUCUUAUUAGAGCAAAAUGCUCAUUAUCUGGAAGCCUUUUUGCUUUUUGAAGUAAAAUUGCAGGACUGGGGGUUUAUUUUACAGUCCUUCUUGAAUAUCUCCGAGAUCAUCUGCAAUGUGGGCAACCUGGGGCUCCCUCCCCCUGCCCUUUGGCAGGGCCCUCAGCUGCAGACAGCCAGGCUAAGCUGGCAAAAGGUCAGAAGGCUGCAUUUGACUGAAGACGGGUCACAUUGAUGAAAAUCAUGCCUGCUUAAUGAAGUCAAGGCCACGGAUUUGGGGUGUUUAUGGUUCUUCUCAUUUCACUCAAUUUCACCUUCACAGACCAUACCACUAAUCCCAGCCAAUCGUCCUGCAUCUAUGUGCAACCGGUGACUGAGGGAUAAAAGUCAACGAAUUUCAUCUGGAAAACAGAGACUGGAAAUCUCUGUCUAUACAGAAGUGAAACUAAAAAGUGUG
RNAcentral lists this long non-coding RNA (12299 nucleotides) under Lynx pardinus (Iberian lynx). Lineage: Eukaryota; Metazoa; Chordata; Mammalia; Carnivora; Felidae. The record is from RNAcentral.